CCUACGGGUGGCAGCAGUGAGGAAUAUUGGUCAAUGGACGAGAGUCUGAACCAGCCAAGUAGCGUGAAGGAUGACUGCCCUACGGGUUGUAAACUUCUUUUAUAAAGGAAUAAAGUGAGGCACGUGUGCCUUUUUGUAUGUACUUUAUGAGUAAGGAUCGGCUAACUCAGUGCCAGCAGCCGCGGUACUACGGAGGAUCCGAGCGUUAUCCGGAUUUAUUGGGUUUAACGGGAGCGUAGAUGGGUUGUUAAGUCAGUUGUGAAAGUUUGCGGCUCAACCGUAAAAUUGCAAUUGAUACUGGCAGUCUGGAGUACAGUUGAGGUAAGCGGAAUUCGUGGUGUAGCGGUGAAAUGCUUAGAUAUCACGAAGAACCUCGAUGGCGAAGGCAGCUUACUAAACUGUGACUGACAUUGAUGCUCGAAAGUGUGGGUAGCAAACAGGAUUAGAUACCCUAGUAGUC
RNAcentral lists this ribosomal RNA (460 nucleotides) under uncultured bacterium. RNAcentral describes it as "partial 16S ribosomal RNA". It matches the Rfam family "Bacterial small subunit ribosomal RNA", at positions 338 to 795 of the family's 1533-position model. The record is from RNAcentral.